Molecule: ribosomal RNA, 254 nt
Filed under: uncultured bacterium
Lineage: Bacteria
Description: partial 16S ribosomal RNA
Rfam family: Bacterial small subunit ribosomal RNA
Source: RNAcentral
UACGAAGGGGGGCUAGCGUUGUUCGGAUUUACUGGGCGUAAAGCGCACGUAGGCGGAUCGAUCAGUCAGGGGUGAAAUCCCAGAGCUCAACUCUGGAACUGCCUUUGAUACUGUCGAUCUGGAGUAUGGAAGAGGUGAGUGGAACUGCGAGUGUAGAGGUGAAAUUCGUAGAUAUUCGCAAGAACACCAGUGGCGAAGGCGGCUCACUGGCCCGGUACUGACGCUGAGGUGCGAAAGCGUGGGGAGCAAACAGG